Cavia porcellus (domestic guinea pig) is the source of this 71-nucleotide transfer RNA. It matches the Rfam family "tRNA". From Rfam's summary of the family: Transfer RNA (tRNA) molecules are approximately 80 nucleotides in length. Their secondary structure includes four short double-helical elements and three loops (D, anti-codon, and T loops). NCBI's taxonomy places the organism in Eukaryota, Metazoa, Chordata, Mammalia, Rodentia, Caviidae. The record is from Rfam.
GGGGAUUUAGCUCAGCGGCAUAAGCACCUGCCUUGCAAGCAGGCAGUCGUGAGUCGUGAGUUCAAUCCCUG